Molecule: ribosomal RNA, 492 nt
Filed under: uncultured bacterium
Lineage: Bacteria
Description: partial 16S ribosomal RNA
Rfam family: Bacterial small subunit ribosomal RNA
Source: RNAcentral
AGUGAACGCUGGCGGUAGGCCUAACACAUGCAAGUCGAACGGCAGCACAGUAAGAGCUUGCUCUUACGGGUGGCGAGUGGCGGACGGGUGAGGAAUACAUCGGAAUCUACUUUUUCGUGGGGGAUAACGUAGGGAAACUUACGCUAAUACCGCAUACGACCUACGGGUGAAAGCAGGGGAUCUUCGGACCUUGCGCGAUUGAAUGAGCCGAUGUCGGAUUAGCUAGUUGGCGGGGUAAAGGCCCACCAAGGCGACGAUCCGUAGCUGGUCUGAGAGGAUGAUCAGCCACACUGGAACUGGGACACGGUCCAGACUCCUACGGGAGGCAGCAGUGGGGAAUAUUGGACAAUGGGCGCAAGCCUGAUCCAGCCAUACCGCGUGGGUGAAGAGGGCCUUCGGGUUGUAAAGCCCUUUUGUUGGGAAAGAAAAGCAGCAGGUUAAUACCCCGCUGUUCUGACGGUACCCAAAGAAUAAGCACCGGCCAACUUCGUG